This 253-nucleotide ribosomal RNA is filed under the name uncultured bacterium. RNAcentral describes it as "partial 16S ribosomal RNA". It matches the Rfam family "Bacterial small subunit ribosomal RNA", at positions 524 to 776 of the family's 1533-position model. The record is from RNAcentral.
UACGGAGGGUGCAAGCGUUAUCCGGAUUUACUGGGUUUAAAGGGUGCGUAGGCGGUUCUGUAAGUCAGGGGUGAAAUCUCCGAGCUUAACUCGGAAACUGCCAUUGAUACUAUAGAUCUUGAAUAUCCUGGAGGUGAGCGGAAUAUGUCAUGUAGCGGUGAAAUGCUUAGAUAUGACAUAGAACACCAAUUGCGAAGGCAGCUCACUACGGGAUUAUUGACACUCAGGCACGAAAGCGUGGGGAUCAAACAGG